Molecule: ribosomal RNA, 523 nt
Filed under: Staphylococcus equorum
Lineage: Bacteria; Bacillati; Bacillota; Bacilli; Caryophanales; Staphylococcaceae
Description: bacterial SSU rRNA
Rfam family: Bacterial small subunit ribosomal RNA
Source: RNAcentral
UCUGACGGAGCAACGCCGCGUGAGUGAUGAAGGUUUUCGGAUCGUAAAACUCUGUUAUUAGGGAAGAACAAAUGUGUAAGUAACUGUGCACAUCUUGACGGUACCUAAUCAGAAAGCCACGGCUAACUACGUGCCAGCAGCCGCGGUAAUACGUAGGUGGCAAGCGUUAUCCGGAAUUAUUGGGCGUAAAGCGCGCGGAGGCGGUUUCUUAAGUCUGAUGUGAAAGCCCACGGCUCAACCGUGGAGGGUCAUUGGAAACUGGGAAACUUGAGUACAGAAGAGGAAAGUGGAAUUCCCAUGUGUAGCGGUGAAAUGCGCAGAGAUAUGGAGGAACACCAGUGGCGAAGGCGACUUUCUGGUCUGUAACUGACGCUGAUGUGCGAAAGCGUGGGGAUCAAACAGGAUUAGAUACCCUGGUAGUCCACGCCGUAAACGAUGAGUGCUAAGUGUUAGGGGGUUUCCGCCCCUUAGUGCUGCAGCUAACGCAUUAAGCACUCCGCCUGGGGAGUACGACCGCAAGGUU